RNAcentral lists this ribosomal RNA (200 nucleotides) under uncultured bacterium. Its description in RNAcentral is "partial 16S ribosomal RNA". It matches the Rfam family "Bacterial small subunit ribosomal RNA", at positions 1300 to 1500 of the family's 1533-position model. The record is from RNAcentral.
GUAGUCUGCAACCCGACUACACGAAGCUGGAAUCGCUAGUAAUCGCGAAUCAGAAUGUCGCGGUGAAUACGUUCCCGGGUCUUGUACACACCGCCCGUCACACCAUGGGAGUCGGGAAUGCCCGAAGUCAGUGACCCAACCUUUGGAGGGAGCUGCCGAAGGCAGGUCUGAUAACUGGGGUGAAGUCGUAACAAGGUACC